UGCGUAGGCGGUAGUUCAAGUGGAAAGUCAAAUUCUGAGUAAAGGAGCGCUGUCGGCGGUUUUCCUACCCUUACUACUAGAGUUUGCUCAUGUUCGUUGUAUUUCUAGGGGAGAGGGAAAUUCGGUAAUCCUAGGAGGAAGAUCGGCGGUGUAGACGUCGAACGGGAGUAAACUGACGCUGAGUCACGAAAGCGUGGGGAGCAACAGG
Molecule: ribosomal RNA, 208 nt
Filed under: uncultured bacterium
Lineage: Bacteria
Description: partial 16S ribosomal RNA
Rfam family: Bacterial small subunit ribosomal RNA
Source: RNAcentral